GUGCAUCCACGAAAUUUGAAAUGUUUAUAAUAAACAUAUGCAUCUACAACCAACUUUCUAAACUUUUUGCAAGAGAGGACCUUAAGGUGGUUGUAGUCCCUAAGCGUGCUCGAGACACAAAGCGUGGCUGACUCUAGAGACACAUUAAACAUGCAUGGCUCUUGUGGUAUUUCAAGAAUGAAGCUCCCAUGCUUGUCUAAGGAAUCCUUUCCUUCGGACUCCAGAGUCGUCGCCUCACAAAAUUCC
This 246-nucleotide long non-coding RNA is filed under the name Setaria viridis. Its description in RNAcentral is "long non-coding RNA (SVIR_LNC010765)". The record is from RNAcentral. Lineage: Eukaryota; Viridiplantae; Streptophyta; Magnoliopsida; Poales; Poaceae.